Ciona intestinalis (vase tunicate) is the source of this 432-nucleotide non-coding RNA. The record is from RefSeq and is a predicted model, not a curated record. NCBI's taxonomy places the organism in Eukaryota, Metazoa, Chordata, Ascidiacea, Phlebobranchia, Cionidae.
AUAUAUAUAUAUAUAUAGGUGUGUGUGUUUUCAUUUUCAAAAGGAAGAGUGGGGCAUAGAAAAAAAGCAAGCAACAUUACAUUGGAUAUGCAAGGAAACUUGUUCGGAUCAAGUAAGUAGCAUGUAUUUGGAGAGCGCAGAAGAAUACAGAAAUGAAUCACAUUUUGUAUGAAACAAGACCAUUCAAAACUGAAUGAUGAAAUAUUCUUGCAAAUGUUGUUCAACUGUCACUAUAAUGUUGUUCGCUUAUACUUUGAUCAGUACUGAUGGAACCUUUCGGUUUUCCUUCCAGUCAUUCCGGUACCUAUCGAACAAAGUUCUGAUCAGCUGUGUAGCGAUACUGUGUAAACAAAAUAAAUGCCAUAAACAUGUGAUUGACCAACUUUUUGGUAUGAAGGCCAACAAUAAAUACUAUGUUAGUGUAAAUUGAUU